ACAAACUUGGUCAUUUAGAGGAAGUAAAAGUCGUAACAAGGUUUCCGUAGGUGAACCUGCGGAAGGAUCAUUAGUAAAUUUGUGGAUCUGAAAGGAUUCAGAAUCUGACUUUGUGGUAUAAAUGAAAUUAGAAUUGGGUUUAAAGAUGAUGCUUUCAUUUGAAGGUAUCGACCCAAAACUUUUAUCAACUCUUUUAUUAUUUGACUGAUAUUAUCAAGUUAAUCGAAAGAUUAAAAAAAAGUUUAAAUAACUUUCAACAACGGAUCUCUUGGUUCUCGCAUCGAUGAAGAACGCAGC
RNAcentral lists this unclassified non-coding RNA (297 nucleotides) under uncultured fungus. Its description in RNAcentral is "partial contains small subunit ribosomal RNA, internal transcribed spacer 1, and 5.8S ribosomal RNA". The stretch from base 1 to 73 matches the Rfam family "Eukaryotic small subunit ribosomal RNA", at positions 1759 to 1831 of the family's 1831-position model. Lineage: Eukaryota; Fungi. The record is from RNAcentral.